GGCGUGGAGGCGUUCAGCCAGGCCAGGGCGUGAGGCGUGCGAGGUUUCCUUGCUCAGGACUCUGUCCCUGCAGAAAAGAGGAACACAGAGAUGUUAGACAAUCUGUCAUCUGCUGGGUCCCAGUUCCUGGACUUCAAACACUUAGGAACAUUUCUGGUGUUUGAGGAGUUGGUGACCUUCGAGGAUGUGCUUGUGGACUUCAGCCCAGAGGAACUUAGCUCCCUUAGUGCUGCUCAGAGAAACCUCUACAGGGAGGUGAUGCUGGAGAAUUACCGGAACCUGGUCUCCCUGGGGCACCAAUUCUCUAAACCUGAUGUUAUCUCACGCCUGGAAGAGGAGGAAUCACAUGCAAUGGAGACAGACAGCAGACAUACAGUGAUUUGUCCAGGAGAGUCUCAUGAUGAUCCAUUGGAACCACACCAGGGCAACCAAGAGAAACUUCUGACUCCUAUAACAAUGAAUGACCCCAAGACCCUCACUCCGGAAAGAAGCUAUGGCAGUGAUGAAUUUGAGAGAAGCUCUAAUCUUAGUAAACAAUCAAAGGAUCCUCUAGGAAAGGAUCCCCAGGAAGGCACUGCUCCUGGAAUAUGUACGAGUCCCCAGUCAGCAUCCCAAGAGAACAAACACAACAGAUGUGAAUUUUGCAAACGAACCUUUAGUACUCAAGUAGCCCUUAGGAGACACGAACGGAUCCAUACUGGGAAGAAACCCUAUGAAUGUAAACAGUGUGGUGAAGCCUUCUAUCUCAUGCCACACCUCAAAAGACAUCAGAAGACCCAUUCUGGUAGGAAGACUUCUGGCUGCAAUGAAGGUAGAAAGCCUUCCAUCCAGUGUGCGAAUCUCUGUGAACGUGUAAGAAUUCAUAGUCAGGAGGACUACUUUGAAUGUUUUCAGUGCGGCAAAGCUUUUCUCCAGAAUGUGCAUCUUCUUCAACAUCUCAAAGCCCAUGAGGCAGCAAGAGUCCUUCCUCCUGGGUUGUCCCACAGCAAGACAUACUUAAUUCGUUAUCAGCGGAAACAUGACUACGUUGGAGAGAGAGCCUGCCAGUGUUGUGACUGUGGCAGAGUCUUCAGUCGGAAUUCAUAUCUCAUUCAGCAUUAUAGAACUCACACUCAAGACAGGCCUUACCAGUGUCAGCUAUGUGGGAAAUGUUUCGGCCGACCCUCAUACCUCACUCAACAUUAUCAACUCCAUUCUCAAGAGAAAACUGUUGAGUGCGAUCACUGUUGAGAAACCUUCAGUCACAGCACACACUUUUCUCAACAUUGUUGGCUUCCUCCUAGAGUGUUGUGAGUGUGAGAAGGCCUUUCACUAGCCCCAGCUUAACAACUUGAACAUUCAUCAAAGUGUGGUAAAAAAAAAAAGUUGCAAUUUUUCGAAGAGGGGAUUCCUCACGUCACACAGAUGGAGUCUCACUCUGUCACCCAGGCUGGAGUGCAGUAGUGCAAUCUUGGCUCACUGCAAGCUCCACCUCCCGGGUUCACACCAUUCUCCUGCCUCAGCCUCCCGAGUAUCUGGGACUACAGGCGCCCGCCACCACGCCCAGCUAAUUUUUUUGUAUUUCUAGUAGAGAUGGGGUUUCACCAUGUUAGCCAGGAUGGUCUCAAUCUCCUGACCUCAUGAUUCACCCACCUCAGCCUCCCAAAGUGCUGGGAUUACAGCUGUGAGCCACCGUGCCCGGCCAAUUUAUCUCUUAUAUACACAUUGCUGCUAUAGUUAUGCUUCCACCCCUUUAGCCCUUGGGUUUUGGGGUUUUGGCAUUUUUCCUUAUUGAUUUGCUCUAACGUCUUUGCAUCUGGUCUUGUUUCCUAAGGGGAAAUUCUCAGCAGUGGAAUUCCUGAGCCAAAAUGUCUGUAUCUUGAAGGUUUUAGAAACACUCCUAGCCUCAUUCUAGCAGGGUUUAAAAGUUGUGUUGAUUUUUUUUCUCUAGGGAAGGAUUAUAAACCACUUACCUCUCCUCCACAACCCUCUUCUCCUUGAAGAAUUUGCAUGAUGAACCCAUAUUAGGAUAUGACAGGAUUUAAGUCAGGCCUCAAAAGAGCCACAGAUGAAUUGAAGUCUUUUGUUUGAACUUUUUUUUUUUUUUUUUUUUUUUUUGAGGCAGAGUCUCACUCUGUCACCCAGGCUGGAGUGCAGUGGCGCAAUCUCAGCUCACUGCAAGCUCCGCCUUCCGGGUUCAUGCCAUUCUCCUGCCUCAGCCUCCCAAGUAGCUGGGACUACAGGCACCCGUCACCAUGCCUGGCAAAUUUUUUUUUUUUUUGUAUUUUUAGUAGAGAUGGAGUUUCACUGUGUUAGCCAGGAUGGUCUUGAUCUCCUGACCUUGUGACCCACCCCACCUCGGCCUCCCAAAGUGCUGGGAUUGCAGGUGUGGAGCCACCGUGCCUGGCCUGAACUAUGAUUUUUAACAUAGUUUUAUUAGGUAUUGUUUCCUCACUAUACAAAUAAUAUUGAGCAUAUUAAAGAAAAUUUUGCAAAACAGAGAAGGCUAAUAAACUUCCUAAUAGUUCUAGGUAUGCAACUAGUACAAGUCCAGGGAGGUAGUUAUAUUCACAAGUAGAAGAGACCCUUGGCAGAGAAGAGAGAGGGUGGGCUUUGGAGCCAGGGAGAGCUGAGGUCAAAUUUCAAGGUCCUCCUUAGAGGCUGAUUAUACCUCGUUUUCUUAGGAAAUGGGGAUCCUCCCCUGGGAGAACCAUUAAAAGGCCUAGAGUUCAUCUAUAGAAAAGAGCCUAAUAGUGCCUGGUAUUUAGAAGGCACUCAGUAACAAGUAGUUGCAAUUAGGGAGUAUUUUAAAUUUUAUUUUAUUUUAUUUUUAUUUUUUUUGAGAUGAUGGAGUCUCACUCUGUCACCCAGGCUGGAGUGCAGUGGUAUGAUCUCGGCUCACUGCAACCUCUGCCUCUAGGGUUCAAGCGAUUCUCCUGCCUCAGCCUCCUGAGUAGCUGGGAUUAUAGGUGCGUGCUAUCACACUCGGCUAAUUUUUGUAUUUUUAGUAGAGACAGGGUUUCCUCAUGUUGGUCAGGCUGGUCUCAAACUCCUGACCUCGUGAUGUGCCCACCUCAGCCUCCCAAAGUGCUGGGAUUACAGGCGUGAGCCACUGCACCCGGCCUAAAAUUUAUUUUUUAAAAUGUUUUAUUAGCAGCAAUAAACUAGAGUUGUAAACCACAGUUAACACAUCAAAACGCAACCACGUUUUAUCAUAUUUUAGUAUUUUUUCUACAAAUAUUUUUUUCUAUGUGUAGGUUUUUAAAAAUAGCAUUACAAGUUUAAAGUUCUUUUCUGAUUUUGUGACAAUUUUUAAUUUAUAUAAAAGUCUGAUUAACAAAGCAUAAAUUACUGUAUUUACAGUUUAGAAUCGAUUUCCAAAAAGUGGUUUCACUAGAUGACAUGUGAUGAACAUUUCUAAGGCUCUCGAAAGAUCCUGCUGGAUUUGUUUGUGGAGGGGCUCUGCCAUUUGUAGCCCUCAGCAUAGGGAGGGCCAGAGGUAUGAAAUAGGUGGUGAACUUACCAUCCUCC
Molecule: RNA transcript, 3510 nt
Organism: Pan troglodytes (chimpanzee)
Lineage: Eukaryota; Metazoa; Chordata; Mammalia; Primates; Hominidae
Gene: ZIM2
Gene name: zinc finger imprinted 2
Exons: 6
Source: RefSeq, a predicted model, not a curated record